Molecule: long non-coding RNA, 241 nt
Organism: Manis pentadactyla (Chinese pangolin)
Lineage: Eukaryota; Metazoa; Chordata; Mammalia; Pholidota; Manidae
Exons: 2
Source: RefSeq, a predicted model, not a curated record
AACAGAAAUCAGAGAAAGGAAAAUGCUUCAGAGGCAAGGGACCAUGGAGAAGAGAGUGACAGGCAUGAAGGUGGCAAUGAACUGGAGAAAGAAGGAAGGAAGAGGAGGAGACAGGGAGCUGGUCUUACAGCAGAAUGUAUGGUGAGUGGAGCCUGCAGAAGAGGAGAGCCUUCCUAUUUUACUGCUCUGUGGUCCCGAGGCAGAGGAAACCAGCAGCACAGAUCCAGACGUAUCCUGUGGA